Molecule: ribosomal RNA, 695 nt
Filed under: uncultured Bacteroidales bacterium
Lineage: Bacteria; Pseudomonadati; Bacteroidota; Bacteroidia; Bacteroidales
Description: bacterial SSU rRNA
Rfam family: Bacterial small subunit ribosomal RNA
Source: RNAcentral
GAGGGGCAUCAGUUUGGUUUGCUUGCAAACCAAAGCUGGCGACCGGCGCACGGGUGAGUAACACGUAUCCAACCUACCUCAUACUCGGGGAUAGCCUUUCGAAAGAAAGAUUAAUAUCCGAUAGCAUAUAUUUCCCGCAUGGGUUUUAUAUUAAAGAAAUUCGGUAUGAGAUGGGGAUGCGUUCCAUUAGUUUGUUGGGGGGGUAACGGCCCACCAAGACUACGAUGGAUAGGGGUUCUGAGAGGAAGGUCCCCCACAUUGGAACUGAGACACGGUCCAAACUCCUACGGGAGGCAGCAGUGAGGAAUAUUGGUCAAUGGACGCGAGUCUGAACCAGCCAAGUAGCGUGAAGGAUGACUGCCCUAUGGGUUGUAAACUUCUUUUAUAUGGGAAUAAAGUGGUCCACGUGUGGACUUUUGUAUGUACCAUAUGAAUAAGGAUCGGCUAACUCCGUGCCAGCAGCCGCGGUAAUACGGAGGAUCCGAGCGUUAUCCGGAUUUAUUGGGUUUAAAGGGAGCGUAGGCGGAUUGUUAAGUCAGUUGUGAAAGUUUGCGGCUCAACCGUAAAAUUGCAGUUGAUACUGGCAGUCUUGAGUGCAGUAGAGGUGGGCGGAAUUCGUGGUGUAGCGGUGAAAUGCUUAGACAUCACGAAGAACUCCGAUUGCGAAGGCAGCUCACUGGAGUGUAACUGACGCU